RNAcentral lists this ribosomal RNA (492 nucleotides) under uncultured bacterium. RNAcentral's name for it is "bacterial SSU rRNA". It matches the Rfam family "Bacterial small subunit ribosomal RNA", at positions 21 to 507 of the family's 1533-position model. The record is from RNAcentral.
GGCUCAGGAUGAACGCUAGCGGCAGGCUUAAUACAUGCAAGUCGUGGGGCAGCAUGAGUAGCAAUACUUGAUGGCGACCGGCAAACGGGUGAGGAACACGUACACAACCUUCCUUCAAGCGGGGAAUAGCCCAGAGAAAUUUGGAUUAAUACCCCAUAAUAUAUUUGAUAAGGCAUCUUAUUAAUAUUAAAGCUUCGGCACUUGAUGAUGGGUGUGCGGCUGAUUAGAUAGUUGGCGGGGUAACGGCCCACCAAGUCUACGAUCAGUAGCUGAUGUGAGAGCAUGAUCAGCCACACGGGCACUGAGACACGGGCCCGACUCCUACGGGAGGCAGCAGUAAGGAAUAUUGGACAAUGGACGAAAGUCUAAUCCAGCCAUGCCGCGUGAAGGAUUAAGGUCCUCUGGAUUGUAAACUUCUUUUAUAUGGGACGAAAAAAGGGCAUUCUUGUUCACUUGACGGUACCAUAUGAAUAAGCACCGGCUAACUCCGUG